Molecule: ribosomal RNA, 450 nt
Filed under: uncultured bacterium
Lineage: Bacteria
Description: partial 16S ribosomal RNA
Rfam family: Bacterial small subunit ribosomal RNA
Source: RNAcentral
CCUACGGGAGGCUGCAGUAAGGAAUAUUGGUCAAUGGACGAAAGUCUGAACCAGCCAUCCCGCGUGCAGGAUGAAAGCCCUAUGGGUUGUAAACUGCUUUUAGCAGAGAAGAAAAGCUUUCAUUACUGAGAGUCUGACGGUAUCUGCAGAAUAAGCACCGGCUAACUCCGUGCCAGCAGCCGCGGUAAUACGGAGGGUGCGAGCGUUAUCCGGAAUUACUGGGGCUAAGGGGUGGUUAUAAGGAAGAUUAGAAAUCUUGUCGCUUAACGAUAAAAUUGCCGAUGAUACUGGUACUCUUGAAUUGGGUUGAGGUUAGCGGAAUGUGACAUGUAGCGGUGAAAUGCAUAGAUAUGUCAUGGAACACCAAUUGCGAAGGCAGCUAACUGGGCCUUGAUUGACGCUGAGGCACGAAAGCGUGGGUAGCGAACAGGAUUAGAUACCCGGGUAGUC